Molecule: ribosomal RNA, 467 nt
Filed under: uncultured bacterium
Lineage: Bacteria
Description: partial 16S ribosomal RNA
Rfam family: Bacterial small subunit ribosomal RNA
Source: RNAcentral
GACGAACGCUGGCGGCGUGCUUAACACAUGCAAGUCGAACGGAAAGGCCCUGCUUUUGUGGGGUGCUCGAGUGGCGAACGGGUGAGUAACACGUGAGUAACCUGCCCUUGACUUUGGGAUAACUUCAGGAAACUGGGGCUAAUACCGGAUAGGAGCUCCUGCUGCAUGGUGGGGGUUGGAAAGUUUCGGCGGUUGGGGAUGGACUCGCGGCUUAUCAGCUUGUUGGUGGGGUAGUGGCUUACCAAGGCUUUGACGGGUAGCCGGCCUGAGAGGGUGACCGGCCACAUUGGGACUGAGAGACGGCCCAGACUCCUACGGGGGGCAGCAGUGGGGAAUAUUGCACAAUGGGCGGAAGCCUGAUGCAGCAACGCCGCGUGCGGGAUGACGGCCUUCGGGUUGUAAACCGCUUUCGCCUGUGACGAAGCGUGAGUGACGGUAAUGGGUAAAGAAGCACCGGCUAACUACGU